AUUGAACGCUGGCGGAAUGCUUUACACAUGCAAGUCGAGCGGCAGCGCGGGGCAACCUGGCGGCGAGCGGCGAACGGGUGAGUAACACAUCGGAACGUACCCAGUCGUGGGGGAUAACGUGGCGAAAGUCACGCUAAUACCGCAUACGUCCUGAGGGAGAAAGACGGGGGAGUCGCAAGACCUCGCGCGAUUGGAGCGGCCGAUGACUGAUUAGCUAGUUGGUGGGGUAAAGGCCUACCAAGGCGACGAUCAGUAGCUGGUCUGAGAGGACGACCAGCCACACUGGGACUGAGACACGGCCCAGACUCCUACGGGAGGCAGCAGUGGGGAAUUUUGGACAAUGGGGGAAACCCGUGAUCCAGCCAUUCCGCGUGAGUGAAGAAGG
This 385-nucleotide ribosomal RNA is filed under the name uncultured bacterium. Its description in RNAcentral is "bacterial SSU rRNA". It matches the Rfam family "Bacterial small subunit ribosomal RNA", at positions 29 to 414 of the family's 1533-position model. The record is from RNAcentral.